This 436-nucleotide unclassified non-coding RNA is filed under the name Trifolium pratense (red clover). Lineage: Eukaryota; Viridiplantae; Streptophyta; Magnoliopsida; Fabales; Fabaceae. The record is from RNAcentral.
GUGAGGGUGCAUGAGUGGCGCUGUGGAUGUUUGUGUUUGCUGGCUCAAUGCUUUUGCAUUGAACGGUAUGCAUACAAUCCAGAUCAUUGUUCAUUGAUGCCUUGGUGCCUUUGAUGUUUGCUUGUUGUUCCUGUUUGGCUUACCUAUAUAAUGGUACAUAAGUGGCUUGUUUUGCUUUUACCAUCCCAUAUCGUUGAGCGGUGUUGUGGUGGCUUUUGAAUGUGUACAGAUGCCUUGUAUUAGUCGUCAUGUGUGGUGUCUUCUACGGUGUGCAUGUAUUCAUUGAUUUCUUGGUCGCGGUGCUUGAGAUGACCUUUGGUUCUUCCAAUGAUGUCUGUGAUUAUCGGUUGCCUUAAAUUAUGCCUGCUCUAUUGCCUGUUUUGCUACCCUUUUGUGGGUGCAAAACUUGCACUGUGCGCAGAGUCAUUAAUGGAUG